This 459-nucleotide ribosomal RNA is filed under the name uncultured bacterium. RNAcentral describes it as "partial 16S ribosomal RNA". It matches the Rfam family "Bacterial small subunit ribosomal RNA", at positions 338 to 795 of the family's 1533-position model. The record is from RNAcentral.
CCUACGGGAGGCAGCAGUGAGGAAUCUUGGUCAAUGGUCGGGAGACUGAACCAGCCAAGCCGCGUGAGGGAUGAAGGUACAGAGUAUCGUAAACCUCUUUUGUCAGGGAACAAAGGCGGGGACGUGUCCCCGGAUGAGUGUACCUGAAGAAAAAGCAUCGGCUAACUCCGUGCCAGCAGCCGCGGUAAUACGGAGGAUGCGAGCUUUAUCCGGAUUUAUUGGGUUUAAAGGGUGCGCAGGCGAGCUGUUAAGUCAGCGGUCAAAGCCCGGGGAUCAACCCCGGCCCGCCGUUGAAACUGGCAGUCUAGAGUAGGAGAGAAGUAUGCGGAAUGCGCGGUGUAGCGGUGAAAUGCAUAGAUAUCGCGCAGAACUCCGAUUGCGAAGGCAGCAUGCCGGCUCCACACUGACGCUGAGGCACGAAAGCGUGGGUAUCGAACAGGAUUAGAUACCCUUGUAGUC